This 3072-nucleotide long non-coding RNA is filed under the name Brassica napus (rape). RNAcentral's name for it is "long non-coding RNA (BNAP_LNC006015)". The record is from RNAcentral. Lineage: Eukaryota; Viridiplantae; Streptophyta; Magnoliopsida; Brassicales; Brassicaceae.
UAGAUCCUCGAGAGCAAAGCCAUUACAUUGGACAUCAUGUUUAAAGAUUGCAGAAGAUGUUGCCCAAGGCUUGUACUACAUUCACCAAACAUCGUCAGCAUUAGUCCAUGGAAACCUUAAAUCAACUAACAUCCUCCUCGGACAUGACUUCGAAGCUUGUUUAACUGAUUACUGCCUCAGCGUCUUAACAGAUUCAUCUUCUUCUUCUAAUGAUGAUGAUCCGGACUCUUCCUCUUACAAAGCCCCUGAGAUCAGAAAAUCAUCUCGUAGACCAACUUCCAAAUGCGACGUCUACUCGUUUGGUGUCUUGAUCUUUGAGCUUUUGACCGGUAAGAACGCGUCCAGGCAUCCGUUUAUGGCGCCUCAUGAUAUGCUUGAUUGGGUUAGAGCAAUGAGAGAAGAAGAGGAAGGAGCAGAGGAUAAUAGGCUUGGGAUGAUGACUGAAACAGCUUGUCUUUGCCGUGUGACGUCGCCCGAGCAAAGACCGACGAUGAGACAAGUGAUCAAGAUGAUUCAGGAGAUUAAAGAGAGUGUUAUGGCGGAAGAGAACGAUCCUUUCCAGUGAAACCAAUCUCGUAGGGCUUCCUCCGACCAGUUUUCCCAAGGGAGGGGGUUAAUUUAGUCAAAAAGGAGAAUAUAGAUGCGUAAAUGUAAUUACGGGAUCCACUUCAAAGCCCCAAACUCUCCCCUAGUCCAAACGGACAAAGAGCUUUGCAAAAAAAAAAAAAAAAAUGUCACUGAAGUUUUUUCUCUUCUUCCUCCUCCUCCUCCUCUUCCUCCAUGUCUCCGCCGGAUUCUCAUCAUCGGAGCCGAACUACUUCAACUCCUUGCUUCCUUCCGACGCAGUCGCUCUACUCUCUUUCAAAUCCACCGCCGAUCUCGACAACAAGCUCCUGUAUUCCCUCACCGAGCGUUACGACUACUGCCAAUGGCGCGGCGUCAAAUGCGCACAGGGCCGCGUCGUUCGCCUUGUCCUCUCCGGCGUCGGCCUCCGUGGCUACUUCUCCUCCGCCACUCUUAGCCGCCUCGACCAGCUCCGAGUCCUGAGCCUCGAGAACAACUCCCUCUUCGGCCCCGUCCCCGAUCUCUCCGCUCUCGUUAACCUUAAAUCUCUCUUCCUCAGCCGGAACGAGUUCAACGGACCUUUCCCUCCUUCGAUUCCUUCCCUUCACCGGUUAAUGAUCCUCUCUCUCUCCCACAACAACUUCACCGGUCAGAUUCCAACUCAGAUAACCGCUCUCGACCGGUUAACUUCAUUAAAUCUCGAGUCUAACCGCUUUAACGGCACGCUCCCGUCGCUUAACCAGUCGUUUCUGACGUCCUUCAACGUCUCCGUUAACAACUUAACGGGAGUCAUCCCCGUUACACCGACUCUGUCUCGAUUCGACGCGUCGUCGUUUAAGUCCAACCCGGGGCUGUGCGGGGAGAUCAUCAACCGAGCUUGCGCUUCUUCACGCUCUCCCUUCUUCGGGUCGAGUAACAACAAAACGUCGUCGUCUUCUUCCUCCUCGCAGGCUCCGUUGGGGCAAAGCGCGCAGGCGCAGAACGGAGGAGCGGUGGUUAUCUCUCCGGUUGUUUCGAAGAAGAAAGGUAAAGAAAAUGGGUUAGUACUGGGAUUCACCGUCGGUCUCGCGUCGCUCAUCGUCCUCGGUCUCUGCCUCGUCGUCUUCUCUCUAGUGAUAAAGAAACAAACCAAAGACGAGAUUUACGAACCGAGUCAAAAAGGAGACGCGUCAUCCUCCUCUCACCAGAAUCAAGCUCUGAGUACAAGAGCCGUACCAGUUUUGAAUCCGAACUCAAACUCAAGCUCCGUGGAGAAGCUUCAGUUUCGAGCCGCCGCCGCCACGGAGCCGCAGAGCCGAGUCCCAAACAGCGGGAAUCUGAUCUUCUGCGGCGGGGGCGGGGAAGGAGGGGAGUCGAGUCAAGGGAUGUACACUCUCGAGCAGCUGAUGCGAGCCUCGGCGGAGCUUCUGGGGAGAGGAUCGGUGGGGAUUACGUACAAGGCGGUGUUUGAUAACCAGCUCAUCGUGACGGUGAAGAGACUAGACGCGGCUAAAACGGCGGUUACAAGCGAAGAGGCGUUCGAGAAUCACAUGGAGAUUGUUGGUGGACUCAGGCACCAGAAUCUUGUUCCGAUUAGAGCUUACUUUCAGUCAAACGGAGAGAGACUCAUCAUCUUCGAUUACCAACCCAAUGGCAGCCUCUUCAAUCUCAUUCACGGUAACUCUUCUAUCUUCCUAGGGUUUUAGUUUUGAACUCAGCGAGUCACCACCGAGUUGAAGAUUUACUUUACUUUACAUUAAUUAAAGAUCAUUAGUUUAAGGUCUUAAUCAAUGAUGACGUGAGAAAUCGUAAGUUGUUUCGACUAUACUUUAUUUUAAAAAACUUAAAACCCUAAAGCGCACGAGUCUUUUCUGUGUGGCGGGUUUUGUGUUUGUGCACAGUUUAGUAGUGAGAACUUGAUGAACUGAAGCUGACCACACAGCGACAAUCGCGGGUCUUACUUUUUGUAAUAAUAUUUAUUUUUUUAAAAAGUUUUUGUUCGUUUGCUCUUUUUUCUUCUGAAGUCUUCGUUGAAAUUACUUAGCAUUAGUGGAAGAAGACAGAAACCUGGUGGAACUCUGUGCUUUUUUCUUCACGUGAAAUCUCAUCUUUUUGCCAUCACUCUGUCUCUACACCUUGCGUUAGUGCCGGACAAAUAUUAAACUAUUUUUUUUUUACAUGCACUUGUUUGAUGAACCUUACGAAUUACAUUAAGAGUGUUUGCUUCUUGCUCCUGUAUUGGACCCAACACCAAAUGUGACUAACUAACUCCAAUAUUUUCACAGGUUCUAGAUCCUCGAGAGCAAAGCCAUUACAUUGGACAUCAUGUUUAAAGAUUGCAGAAGAUGUUGCCCAAGGCUUGUACUACAUUCACCAAACAUCGUCAGCAUUAGUCCAUGGAAACCUUAAAUCAACUAACAUCCUCCUCGGACAUGACUUCGAAGCUUGUUUAACUGAUUACUGCCUCAGCGUCUUAACAGAUUCAUCUUCUUCUUCUAAUGAUGAUGAUCCGGACUCUUCCUCUUACAA